CGGAGAGUAGCUCAGCCCGGUAGAGCACUGCUUUCGGGAGGCAGGGGCCGGAGGUUCGAAUCCUCUCUCUCCGACCA
RNAcentral lists this transfer RNA (77 nucleotides) under Alphaproteobacteria bacterium. Its description in RNAcentral is "tRNA-Pro". It matches the Rfam family "tRNA". From Rfam's summary of the family: Transfer RNA (tRNA) molecules are approximately 80 nucleotides in length. Their secondary structure includes four short double-helical elements and three loops (D, anti-codon, and T loops). RNAcentral also lists the same sequence under 1 other name. The record is from RNAcentral. Lineage: Bacteria; Pseudomonadati; Pseudomonadota; Alphaproteobacteria.